Molecule: long non-coding RNA, 1665 nt
Organism: Lynx canadensis (Canada lynx)
Lineage: Eukaryota; Metazoa; Chordata; Mammalia; Carnivora; Felidae
Exons: 6
Source: RefSeq, a predicted model, not a curated record
CCGGCUCCGCGGCACCAGAAGUUCGGCUGGUCCAAGAGGAAAGAGUCCGAGAACUGGCUAAAGCCGAUGAACAGAGCCGGGAUCCAGGUUCAGAAAUAUUCUCCCACUGAAAAGUCUCUGGAGUAUAAAAUUCUGUCUCUCCCUCUCCAUCUUCAUUGUAUGAGAUGCCCAGAAAAUCCCGCUGUUGCAAAUGGAACUAACUAGAAGCACAGUGUUUAUCCUUCACAUUUUCAUUUAAUGAGAAUGACAACUGUCUGAACCCCAAGGGGAAUUGGUGAAGAAUUUAAAUCCUUCCUUGCAUGUAUGUCCUCUACAUAAAGUUACCAUGGUUUCUGGAUUCCAUCAGAAGUCUCUCAUUUUCCCCUUCAACAUCGAUUGCUUACUCCCUUCUGGAAGUGUCCACACUGGAAUUCGGCCUCACUGUUUGAAGUUCUGUGUUGCUAAGAGAUGCUGUUUUGCAGUAAACCCAAGUGUGAACACACACUAAGAAGGAAAUGCAAUUUUUAAAGGAUAACAAGUAAUGAAGCUGAAUGGCGUCUCUAGUCACCUACCUUAAGCCUCCUUUUCUGGGAGAGGAAACUGAGGCCCCAGAGAAAUGGAAUCCUUUGACUUAAAUCAGUUCAUCACAGGUCAGCCUGGGACUAGAGCUCAGUUUUUCCGACUCCCCGUAAUACAUCCUUGGUGCUGCCUCCCUGGGAACUGAAAUUGUGUAGAAUAUCUUAUGAUCGAUAAUAAUACCAUUGACAUACAAUCAACAGGGCAUUUUUCCCUUUAGCAGAAAUGAUGGAUUUAUACCAAUGAUUCUCCUCCUUCAUCACUCUGUAAACAAAUAACUUAUAUGUAUUAAAAUAGGCUCUCUCUGAGUUCCUCCAGAGACUUCAAGCUCUUUGAAGACCCAAGGGUGCAUCCUUCAUAUCCUGUGCUUAGUAGGGACUCAGUAAAUGGUGAGUGGAUGGAUGGAUAACACAAGGCGAAACCACCCACCCACAAGAGACUGCAUGGACUCCCCCAUUAGGCCAAUGAAUUUAAACAGCCACAGGCAGAAGGAAGAAGGAAUGCUUUGAGAGCCAUUCAGGAGAGCAAAUCUGCCCUGUGGAACAACUGUUACAGAUUCACGAGCUCGGUGUCUAUUGGGAAGACCGACACCUAAAAUGUACAAACUGAAGAAACCCAUUUGGGGACUUUGGGGAGUAGGCUGACUCACCACAAAACUAAACUAAAGAAUCGUUUCUGGCUUGUGAGAGAUGGAUGAUGCCCCAGCAGGAAGUGUUCAGAAAGUCUACUGAGAGGCACAGGGUGAGAUAGGGAAUGAUGAGUGAAGCAGGAUCAAUCAUCAGGGCCCAAAUCCGCUGACAGGGAGACCUGGAUGCCCAUGCAGUAAGGAGGAACAGACAAUUUACUGUCUUCUACUCCUUUUACUACAUCUGGCCUGAAAAUCUUCAUAGCUACUUCAGGAUCAUUUGAUUUUAGCCAUAGCAUCUUGACAAAGAGAAUGAUGCCUAUAAAAUCUAGUAGUUAAGCAAAUUCCACUACUUUGUGUUAAUUUCUGGGAGUCAGGGUGGGAUGGAUUGGAAAUCUUCAUUUUCUGGGUUUAAAAUAGUCUCAUAAAUCUAACCAACUGAAAUAUAAAGUCUUUCCAAAUAGAGGACUCCCUGGACCACUUCA